This 319-nucleotide ribosomal RNA is filed under the name uncultured bacterium. RNAcentral's name for it is "bacterial SSU rRNA". It matches the Rfam family "Bacterial small subunit ribosomal RNA", at positions 190 to 507 of the family's 1533-position model. The record is from RNAcentral.
UGGCCUCUACUUGUAAGCUAUCGCUGAGGGAUGGGCCUGCGGGCCAUUAGCUUGUUGGUGAGUAACGGCUCACCAAGGCUGUGAUGGCUAGCUGGUCUGAGAGGAUGACCAGCCACACUGGGACUGAGACACGGCCCAGACUCCUACGGGAGGCAGCAGUGGGAAUAUUGCGCAAUGGGCGAAAGCCUGACGCAGCGACGCCGCGUGGGUGAUGAAGGCCUUCGGGUCGUAAAGCCCUGUCGCAGGGGAAGAAUAAGCAUCGGUAUAAUACGCCGGUGCCCUGACGGUACCCUGCAAGAAAGCACCGGCUAACUCCGUG